This 639-nucleotide ribosomal RNA is filed under the name uncultured Actinomycetes bacterium. RNAcentral describes it as "bacterial SSU rRNA". It matches the Rfam family "Bacterial small subunit ribosomal RNA", at positions 232 to 885 of the family's 1533-position model. Lineage: Bacteria; Bacillati; Actinomycetota; Actinomycetes. The record is from RNAcentral.
CGCGGCCUAUCAGCUUGUUGGUGGGGUAACGGCCUACCAAGGCAUCGACGGGUAGCUGGUCUGAGAGGACGAUCAGCCACACUGGGACUGAGACACGGCCCAGACUCCUACGGGAGGCAGCAGUGGGGAAUAUUGCGCAAUGGGCGAAAGCCUGACGCAGCAACGCCGCGUGGGGGAUGACGGCCUUCGGGUUGUAAACCCCUUUCAGCAGGGACGAAAAUGACGGUACCUGCAGAAGAAGCCCCGGCCAACUACGUGCCAGCAGCCGCGGUAACACGUAGGGGGCAAGCGUUGCCCGGAUUUAUUGGGCGUAAAGAGCUCGUAGGCGGUUGCGUAAGUCGGAUGUGAAAACUCAGGGCUCAACCCGGAGACGCCAUCCGAUACUGCGCUGACUAGAGUCCGGUAGAGGAGCAUGGAAUUCCUGGUGUAGCGGUGAAAUGCGCAGAUAUCAGGAGGAACACCAGUGGCGAAGGCGGUGCUCUGGGCCGGCACUGACGCUGAGGAGCGAAAGCGUGGGUAGCGAACAGGAUUAGAUACCCUGGUAGUCCACGCCGUAAACGUUGGGCACUAGGUGUGGGGCCUCCUUAACGGGUUCCGUGCCGUAGCUAACGCAUUAAGUGCCCCGCCUGGGGAGUACGG